This 118-nucleotide ribosomal RNA is filed under the name Salmo salar (Atlantic salmon). The record is from RNAcentral. Lineage: Eukaryota; Metazoa; Chordata; Actinopteri; Salmoniformes; Salmonidae.
GCUUACGGCCAUACCAGCCUGGGUACGCCCGAUCUCGUCUGAUCUCGGAAGCUAAGCAGGGUCGGGCCUGGUUAGUACUUGGAUGGGAGACCGCUUGGAAUACCAGGUGCUGUAAGCA